RNAcentral lists this ribosomal RNA (253 nucleotides) under uncultured bacterium. RNAcentral's name for it is "partial 16S ribosomal RNA". It matches the Rfam family "Bacterial small subunit ribosomal RNA", at positions 524 to 776 of the family's 1533-position model. The record is from RNAcentral.
UACAGAGGGUGCGAGCGUUAAUCGGAAUUACUGGGCGUAAAGCGUGCGUAGACGGUUAUUUAAGUCGGAUGUGAAAGCCCCGGGCUCAACCUGGGAACUGCGUCCGAUACUGGAAGGCUUGAAUCCGGGAGAGGGAUGCGGAAUUCCAGGUGUAGCGGUGAAAUGCGUAGAUAUCUGGAGGAACACCGGUGGCGAAGGCGGCAUCCUGGACCGGCAUUGACGCUGAGGCGCGAAAGCCAGGGGAGCAAACGGG